UACGUAGGCAGCAAGCGUUGUUCGGAGUUACUGGGCGUAAAGGGCGCGUAGGCGGUCAGACAAGUCAGCUGUGAAAACCUCGGGCUUAACUCGAGGCCUGCAGUUGAAACUGCCUGGCUGGAGUGUGGGAGAGGAGAGUGGAAUUCCCGGUGUAGCGGUGAAAUGCGUAGAUAUCGUAAGGAAGACCAGUGGCGAAGGCGGGUCUCUGGACAGUUCCUGACGCUGAGGCACGAAGGUCAGGGGAGCAAACGGG
This 253-nucleotide ribosomal RNA is filed under the name uncultured bacterium. Its description in RNAcentral is "partial 16S ribosomal RNA". It matches the Rfam family "Bacterial small subunit ribosomal RNA", at positions 524 to 776 of the family's 1533-position model. The record is from RNAcentral.